CCCAGCAUGGUGUAGUGGUCUGAGCAUUGGACUAGGACUCUGGAGACCAGGGUUCGAAUCCUGGGUUGGCC
This is a non-coding RNA of Phrynosoma platyrhinos (Desert horned lizard), 71 nucleotides long. Lineage: Eukaryota; Metazoa; Chordata; Lepidosauria; Squamata; Phrynosomatidae. The record is from the annotation of a GenBank genome assembly.